Molecule: ribosomal RNA, 505 nt
Filed under: uncultured bacterium
Lineage: Bacteria
Description: bacterial SSU rRNA
Rfam family: Bacterial small subunit ribosomal RNA
Source: RNAcentral
AGUGAACGCUGGCGGCAGGCCUAAUACAUGCAAGUCGAACGGCAGCACAGCAGAGCUUGCUCUGUGGGUGGCGAGUGGCGGACGGGUGAGGAAUACAUGGGAAUCUGCCCAGUCGUGGGGGAUAACGUAGGGAAACUUACGCUAAUACCGCAUGCGCCCUUCGGGGAAAGCCGGGGACCUUCGGGCCUGGCGCGAUUGGAUGAGCCCAUGUCGGAUUAGCUAGUUGGCGGGGUAAUGGCCCACCAAGGCGACGACCCGUAGCUGGUCUGAGAGGAUGAUCAGCCACACUGGAACUGAGACACGGUCCAGACUCCUACGGGAGGCAGCAGUAGGGAAUAUUGGACAAUGGGCGCAAGCCUGAUCCAGCCAUGCCGCGUGAGUGAAGAAGGCCCUCGGGUUGUAAAGCUCUUUUGUCCGGAAAGAAAGUCGCCGGGUUAAUACCCUAGUGUCCUGACGGUACCGGAAGAAUAAGCACCGGCUAACUUCGUGCCAGCAGCCGCGGUAA